RNAcentral lists this ribosomal RNA (810 nucleotides) under Plectania submilleri. RNAcentral describes it as "Plectania sp. HS-2023a partial large subunit ribosomal RNA". It matches the Rfam family "Eukaryotic large subunit ribosomal RNA", at positions 88 to 913 of the family's 3401-position model. Lineage: Eukaryota; Fungi; Ascomycota; Pezizomycetes; Pezizales; Sarcosomataceae. The record is from RNAcentral.
UGCGAGUGAAGCGGCAAGAGCUCAAAUUUGAAAUCUAGUACCUUUGAGUGCUCGAGUUGUAAUUUGGAGAGGCAACUUCGAAGGAGGCGCUGGCCUAUGUUCCUUGGAACAGGACGUCACAGAGGGUGAGAAUCCCGUGCUUGGCUGGCUGUCCUCCUUCAUGUGAAGUGUCUUCGACGAGUCGAGUUGUUUGGGAAUGCAGCUCAAAAUGGGUGGUAAACUCCAUCUAAGGCUAAAUAUUGGCGAGAGACCGAUAGCGCACAAGUAGAGUGAUCGAAAGAUGAAAAGCACUUUGAAAAGAGAGUUAAAAAGUACGUGAAAUUGUUGAAAGGGAAGCGCUUGAGACCAGACUCGGUGGUUGGUGAUCAGCGGUUGCUUUUGCUCCGUGCACUUGCCUUUCACUGGGCCAGCAUCAGUUGUGACGGUGGGAUAAAGGCUCAGGGAAUGUGGCUCCCUUUGGGGAGUGUUAUAGCCCUGGGUGUAAUGCCACCUGUUGCGACUGAGGACCGCGCUUCGGCUAGGAUGCUGGCAUAAUGGUCUUCAGCGACCCGUCUUGAAACACGGACCAAGGAGUCUAACAUCUAUGCGAGUGUUCGGGUGUAAAACCCCUACGCGUAAUGAAAGUGAACGGAGGUGGGAACUCUUCGGAGUGCACCAUCGACCGAUCCUGAUGUCUUCGGAUGGAUUUGAGUAGGAGCAUAGCUGUUGGGACCCGAAAGAUGGUGAACUAUGCCUGAAUAGGGUGAAGCCAGAGGAAACUCUGGUGGAGGCUCGCAGCGGUUCUGACGUGCAAAUCGAUCGUCAAAUUUG